This is a non-coding RNA of Cajanus cajan (pigeon pea), 414 nucleotides long. The record is from RefSeq and is a predicted model, not a curated record. NCBI's taxonomy places the organism in Eukaryota, Viridiplantae, Streptophyta, Magnoliopsida, Fabales, Fabaceae.
UACUUUCUCAAGAGCCUUGGAUUUGCUGCAGAAGCAAGGAAUGGUGAAGGAAGGAGAAGAAGUAGCACUUGUACAAAGUGGUAGGCAACCCAUAUGGAGGUUCCAAUCCACACACAAUAUCCAGGUUAGGAAAGUGUAAACCAAAAGAAUGGAGAGUGGCCACAAAUAAUGUUUCAAGACGCAGUAGUAGUACGUUUAGCUUCACAAGAGUCAAGAGCAUCAUCUUUUUAUUAUUGCCUUUUAGUGGGUUGCUGCCAGUAUUUGUUUCUUAGUUGCCUUGUUCCCAUCCUAUGUUUCAUAUUCUCUUCUGAAUGUUAUUGGUUUUAUUUAUUUCCUCUGUAAUUUUGUUUUGUUUCUAAAUGUUAUUGAAAUUUUGGUUUAGCAAUUGAAUCCAGAAAUACGCUUUCAGCAUCA